Molecule: non-coding RNA, 22 nt
Filed under: Arabidopsis thaliana (thale cress)
Lineage: Eukaryota; Viridiplantae; Streptophyta; Magnoliopsida; Brassicales; Brassicaceae
Source: RNAcentral
UACGUAUAUUAGCUAUUUACCC